This is a long non-coding RNA of Drosophila grimshawi, 194 nucleotides long. RefSeq lists it as uncharacterized. The record is from RefSeq and is a predicted model, not a curated record. Lineage: Eukaryota; Metazoa; Arthropoda; Insecta; Diptera; Drosophilidae. The transcript is spliced from 2 exons.
CGCGCUUUUUUGCCCAACGCCUUGGUUUUGCGACUGUUGGGAUGCUUGCAUUUCUGCAACUCCUUGCCUGUUGGUGGUUAUCGAUAUUGCGGCUCAUCGGAUGUGGCGAUAUUUAACGUUAGAGGGUGCAACGAUCGCUAUGUAUGUAUCAUAUGUUUCGAACAGUCAUUAAAAGUUAGGAUUUUUGUAAAUGA